AGAGUUUGAUCCUGGCUCAGGACGAACGCUGGCGGCGUGCUUAACACAUGCAAGUCGAGCGAUGAAGCUCCUUCGGGAGUGGAUUAGCGGCGGACGGGUGAGUAACACGUGGGCAACCUGCCUUGUAGAGAGGAAUAGCCAUUCGAAAGGAUGAUUAAUACCUCAUAAUAUUGUAGCUUCGCACGAAGCAACAAUCAAAGGAGCAAUCCACUAUAAGAUGGGCCCGCGGCGCAUUAGCUAGUUGGUGAGGUAACGGCUCACCAAGGCGACGAUGCGUAGCCGACCUGAGAGGGUGAUCGGCCACAUUGGGACUGAGACACGGCCCAGACUCCUACGGGAGGCAGCAGUGGGGAAUAUUGCACAAUGGGGGAAACCCUGAUGCAGCAACGCCGCGUGAGUGAUGACGGUCUUCGGAUUGUAAAGCUCUGUCUUCAGGGACGAUAAUGACGGUACCUGAGGAGGAAGCCACGGCUAACUACGUGCCAGCAGCCGCGGUAAUACGUAGGUGGCAAGCGUUGUCCGGAUUUACAGGGCGUAAAGGGAGCGUAGGCGGAUUUUUAAGUGGGAUGUGAAAUACCCGGGCUUAACCUGGGUGCUGCAUUCCAAACUGGAAGUCUAGAGUACAGGAGGGGAAAGCGGAAUUCCUAGUGUAGCGGUGAAAUGCGUAGAGAUUAGGAAGAACACCAGUGGCGAAGGCGGCUUUCUGGACUGUAACUGACGCUGAGGCUCGAAAGCGUGGGGAGCGAACAGGAUUAGAUACCCUGGUAGUCC
This 771-nucleotide ribosomal RNA is filed under the name uncultured bacterium. Its description in RNAcentral is "bacterial SSU rRNA". It matches the Rfam family "Bacterial small subunit ribosomal RNA", at positions 8 to 796 of the family's 1533-position model. The record is from RNAcentral.